AUAAUCAAAAUUCCCUCUCAAGUAUAAAAGAUCUUAAAUCACAAAUUGCUCAAAUCAAGUUAAAUUCCAUUGGCACUAAUGUCUCUAUGGUGAGGCAGUUAAAACCUAAUUUAGCUAGAGAAAUCCAACGUGGCUUGAAUUAGGUGACAAAAACACAUCCUUUUUCCAUGCUCAAGUUAUUCAAAGGAGAAGGAGAAUUUUAUUAAUGCUAUUUAAGACACUAACAGAGAUUGGAUUUAUGG
Molecule: unclassified non-coding RNA, 242 nt
Filed under: Hevea brasiliensis (rubber tree)
Lineage: Eukaryota; Viridiplantae; Streptophyta; Magnoliopsida; Malpighiales; Euphorbiaceae
Source: RNAcentral